CAGCAGUGUGGAGGUAUAAGCUGAAUAAACCCUUUCCUCCCCAACUUGCUUCUUUGUCAUGAUGUUUAUGACAAAGACAGAAGAGUGAGUGUCACCUUUUGGAGGUAUGGCCUUGUUGGAAUAGCUGUGAUCUGGUUGGAAUUGGUGUGGUUGGAGGUGGGUUUAGUACUCUCACCCUAGUGCCUGGAAGUCAGUCUUCCACUAGAAGCCUUUGGAUGAUGACAUAGAACGCUCAACUCUGCCUGAACCAUGCCUGCCUGGAUACUUCCAUGCUCCCACCUUGAUGAUAAUGGACUGAACUUCUGAACAUAGGUAUGGUGUGUUCCUUGGAUGCAGCAGAAGGGUGGAGACAUAACGUCCAUUUGAUUGUUCUUGUGUUUGUUCCAGUGGUAUCCAGACGUCUGCAUUUGGAAUGAUUGUCAUUCAAGAACAUUGGGAAUCCAACUGAGGGACCAUGAUCUAAGUGGUAUUGCCUCUGGGAUUGCUGCUGACUCUCAGGAGGGAUGAGGAGCCUCAGCCAUCACUGGAAGCUGAUGACAGUGACAGAAAACACACAUAGACUUUCAAAGACAUGCAACAAACAAAAGUCACCAAACAUUUUGGAGAAUAUAGUCUAACUACGGACACUGAAAUUACAAAAAGAAAACAAGCAGCUGAAAAUUGGAACACACAGAGCAACUCCACUGUGAGUAAUUCAGUAAUAUAUUGUAUUCAAAAAAGAUGGUCUGGAUGCAAACUGAAUAAAAUUAAAGAACAAAAUAGUGAGUGGAAGGAGAAAAUUGAGACUUUCCUCAUCUUCAGCAUUAAAGGGAAGAAGCAUGCAGAGAAGGACAUGAAUGGACACCUUCAUCAAUCUUUCCAUUUGGAAGUACAAGGGUGAUCUGUUGUCUAGAGUUCAGUUGCCAUCAACACAAAGACAAAUGAAAGUAUGGAACCACAUAUACAAAAUUUUAAGUUUGCAAGGCAAUACUAUAAAAAUGUAAAUAGGUAUAAAUUUGUGAUAUUUCAAAACUAGGUACAUGAG
Mus musculus (house mouse) is the source of this 1024-nucleotide long non-coding RNA. RefSeq annotates it as predicted gene, 53237. The transcript has 3 exons. The record is from RefSeq and is a predicted model, not a curated record. Lineage: Eukaryota; Metazoa; Chordata; Mammalia; Rodentia; Muridae.